GGAUCUACAGUGAUCAUCUGUCCCGACGUCUGGCCUACAUUACCCAGAGAAUUUCAUUCUGAUGUUACUCUGUCAGGCCCAUCAAUUUCAUGAUAAGGUAGAAUUUAGCUUUUAUUAGUGUAGGAGUCACAAAAUCUAUUUCCCUCUUCGGUGAUGGCUUGCUGGUGUUUGUGCAAUAUAUGUUACAUUGGAGAUGAAAUUGUGUCAGAGCUGGGUGUAUUCCACCAGAGUGAGGCAGAAUGAUGGUGAACAAUACUGAAAGACAGUGAUGUAGCUGAACCAUGUUCUCUAAGAUAGGAUGAGUUUUGUUUACACCAUUCUAGGGAGUUAUUUGUCUAAACUGGCCCUUAGAACUGCAUAGUGUUCAAGAAAUGUUUAGACAUUGUUCUGAGGGACAUGGUUUAGUAAGGAAAUGUUGGCAGUGAUUGAAUGGUUAGGCUAGCUGAUCUUGGAGGUCUGUUCCAACCUUGGUGAUUCUAUGAUUAAUAUUGCUACACUGCUUAAGGUUUCCGAUGGCAUUUGAUGUCCUGUUCCACAAAACAGAAAGUAGAUAUGUGCUAAGAGCUUGUUUCCAAAUAACUUUAGGAUCCGGAGGGACUGAACAGGCAACCAAAAGUAAGUGGCAGAAUCUUCAUUUUACAAAUGGAAGACUGAUUCUUGAAGGAAAUGAAUAUCUUCUUCAGAACUCAGAAUCAGGAGUGGGACUUCUGUGGCUUUGCAACCUAGUCCUGUCGAACUGCCCUUCCUCCUGAGAUGAGGAAUGCUCAAGGUUGAAGAUCAAAGUCCAGGAGUCCCAAGAGUCACACCUUGUGUCUGUGGGAGCUUGGAAGGUGUGGAUUUCAAGAGCAGUGGAUGGCAGUGGUUCCUCACAGAGCCCUGCUGCAGGAUGGAGCAAUGGGUAAUAAGUGUGCAUCUGACUGAUGUUGCUUGUGGUCAUAGGAGACUGUUUCUUGGGAGGUUGAGGUUGGAUAUUAGGAAACAUUUCUCCUCGAGAAGGGCAGUGAUGCCCUGGCACAGGCUGCCCAGGGAGUGGAGGGUGUCACCAUCCUUGAAGAUGAUGGUCCAAGAACCAUGGAGAUAUGGCAUUGAGGGACAUGGUCAGAGGGUAGGGUGGGGGGUGGUUAUAGUUCUGUCUCCUGUUGCCACACAGACUAAGAAUCAUAGAAUUAUUAAGGUUGGAAGAGAUCACUCGGAUCAUCUGUUCCAACCUUCAGUCCAUCACCACCAUGCCCACUAACCACAUCACUUGAACGUCUUCCCCAUCUGCAAGGUUAACCAACAUAACUGUGGGCUCUGGUCCUAGUGGUUGGCAACCCUAGGAAACAAGAUGAUCUUAGAGGUCCUUUUCAACCUAGGCCAUUCUAUGAUUCUAUUAAUCAUGCUAAGAUGGUGUGCAACAUGGUGGCUCCUCAAACACUGGCUGAACCACUGCAUGUCUCUAGGAGACCUCUCUGGUUCAGCUUUGCUAAGCCCUGACCCGGCAGAGUGCUUAGAGCAGAGUUUGAAGCCUAUUAUGUGCACUGCCAUCCCUUGUGUCCUUAGGUUUUCUCACAUCUGGAACUCAUCACAGGAGAUGCACCCUGGCCACCUCUCAGCACCAAGACACCCCAGGGCAGGGGUGGCUCAUGAUUUGGGGCUCAGCAGAUGGGAAGGAAACACCCUGAAGGAACCAUGCAAUCACUGCACCUGCAUUGACAGCACAAGAGAUGUGUGUGUGAGGAAUGGGGACAGACUGACAGUGGCAGAACAGUAAGCUAUUUGGAGCAUCUGAGAACACAAUGCAAGACAAAAAGGACAGUGAAAAUUCUGAAACAGCACUUGAGUGGGGUUUUUUUUGUGUGUGAUUUUUGUUCUGCUUCUCUUUGAUGUAUCACCUUUCUUAUUGAUUUUCUUUUCUUUGCGCUGAAAAUAUGCAUUAUCUUCCAGUCCCUCUUCAGUGAAGUAAAUCUAAAAUGAAAACAAACCACGCAUUUGGCCAACCCUGCCUUAAAAUUACACAUCAAGAAUGUUUCCAGUGACAAAUACUUUCAAGGCAAACAAACUGAAGAGAAAUUAAAAAAUCUCUGUGGGGCAUAAAUAUGUAAUUACACUCACACAGGGAGCAUUUUAUCAGGUAAACCAUCCUACUUUGUUAAUUGAAAUGCUGCAGCACAAGGUUUUUUGACAAAGGGGCUGAAUAUGUAUGUGUAUUUCUCGCUGCUGCUGUUCCAUUUCUCUCUCCCCUUUCCCUCUGUGCUCCUGCAAUGGGGUAAUGAUCACUCCUGGUUUCUUUGUUUGAAUACUCUCACUUCUACUACCUCCACUUUAUCCUGGCAGGGAAAGUUUUCCUUUCACUGGAGGCACAGGUAUGUGGUUUAGGUGUUUUGUUGUUUUUUUUUUUAAUGUUGCUGUUGGUUUAAAACAAAACAAAACCCAGAAAACAAGUCUUUUUCUUAAAUAAAGGAAGGAUAGAGUGGCA
Molecule: long non-coding RNA, 2458 nt
Filed under: Coturnix japonica (Japanese quail)
Lineage: Eukaryota; Metazoa; Chordata; Aves; Galliformes; Phasianidae
Description: lncRNA (ENSCJPG00005006166.1)
Source: RNAcentral